RNAcentral lists this ribosomal RNA (85 nucleotides) under Klebsiella planticola. RNAcentral describes it as "Raoultella planticola partial 23S ribosomal RNA". RNAcentral also lists the same sequence under 1 other name. The record is from RNAcentral. Lineage: Bacteria; Pseudomonadati; Pseudomonadota; Gammaproteobacteria; Enterobacterales; Enterobacteriaceae.
UGAUAGGUCGGGUGUGUAAGCGUAGCGAUACGUUGAGCUAACCGAUACUAAUGAACCGUGAGGCUUAACCUUACAACGCCGAAGC